This 462-nucleotide ribosomal RNA is filed under the name uncultured bacterium. RNAcentral describes it as "partial 16S ribosomal RNA". It matches the Rfam family "Bacterial small subunit ribosomal RNA", at positions 28 to 507 of the family's 1533-position model. The record is from RNAcentral.
GACGAACGCUGGCGGCGUGCUUAACACAUGCAAGUCGAGCGGAAAGGCCCUUCGGGGUACUCGAGCGGCGAACGGGUGAGUCACACGUGAGUAACCUGCCCCAGACUUUGGGAUAACCCUCGGAAACGGGGGCUAAUACCGGAUACGACACAGCUUCGCAUGGGGUCUGUGUGGAAAGUUUUUCGGUUUGGGAUGGGCUCGCGGCCUAUCAGCUUGUUGGUGGGGUGAUGGCCUACCAAGGCGACGACGGGUAGCCGGCCUGAGAGGGCGACCGGCCACACUGGGACUGAGACACGGCCCAGACUCCUACGGGAGGCAGCAGUGGGGAAUAUUGCACAAUGGGCGGAAGCCUGAUGCAGCGACGCCGCGUGAGGGAUGACGGCCUUCGGUUUGUAAACCUCUUUCAGCAGGGACGAAGCGUAAGUGACGGUACCUGCAGAAGAAGCGCCGGCCAACUACGUG